CCUACGGGAGGCAGCAGUGAGGAAUAUUGGUCAAUGGUCGCAAGACUGAACCAGCCAUGCCGCGUGCAGGAAGACGGCCCUAUGGGUUGUAAACUGCUUUUAUAUAGGAAGAAACCUUUUUACGUGUAGAAAGCUGACGGUACUAUAUGAAUAAGCACCGGCUAACUCCGUGCCAGCAGCCGCGGUAAUACGGAGGGUGCAAGCGUUAUCCGGAUUUAUUGGGUUUAAAGGGUCCGUAGGCGGACUUAUAAGUCAGUGGUGAAAUCCUGCAGCUCAACUGUAGAACUGCCAUUGAUACUGUAAGUCUUGAAUUCGGUUGAAGUGGGCGGAAUAUGGCAUGUAGCGGUGAAAUGCUUAGAUAUGCCAUAGAACACCGAUUGCGUAGGCAGCUCACUAAGCCUGGAUUGACGCUGAGGGACGAAAGCGUGGGUAGCGAACAGGAUUAGAUACCCUGGUAGUCCACGCCGUAAACGAUGAUUACUCGACAUUAGCGAUAUACGGUUAGUGUNAUAAGAGAAGANAUUAAGUAAUACCACCGUGGGAGGUACGAGUCGCGAGAGUUAGUAAACGUACGAAAGUAGUAGUUAGUACGGACGUAGAGACGUUGCCGACGGACGACGACGAGGGGAGGUAGGG
Molecule: ribosomal RNA, 636 nt
Filed under: uncultured bacterium
Lineage: Bacteria
Description: bacterial SSU rRNA
Rfam family: Bacterial small subunit ribosomal RNA (bases 1-537)
Source: RNAcentral